Molecule: ribosomal RNA, 253 nt
Filed under: uncultured bacterium
Lineage: Bacteria
Description: partial 16S ribosomal RNA
Rfam family: Bacterial small subunit ribosomal RNA
Source: RNAcentral
UACGUAGGGUACAAGCGUUGUCCGGAAUUAUUGGGCGUAAAGAGCUCGUAGGCGGUUCGUCGCGUCUGCUGUGGAAACGCAAGGCUCAACCUUGCGCGUGCAGUGGGUACGGGCGGACUAGAGUGCAGUAGGGGAGUCUGGAAUUCCUGGUGUAGCGGUGAAAUGCGCAGAUAUCAGGAGGAACACCGGUGGCGAAGGCGGGACUCUGGGCUGUUACUGACGCUGAGGAGCGAAAGCAUGGGGAGCGAACAGG